RNAcentral lists this ribosomal RNA (253 nucleotides) under uncultured bacterium. Its description in RNAcentral is "partial 16S ribosomal RNA". It matches the Rfam family "Bacterial small subunit ribosomal RNA", at positions 524 to 776 of the family's 1533-position model. The record is from RNAcentral.
UACAGAGGGUGCGAGCGUUAAUCGGAAUUACUGGGCGUAAAGCGCACGUAGUCGGCUUUGCAAGUCGGUUGUGAAAUCCCCGGGCUCAACCUGGGAACUGCAUCCGAGACUGCAUUGCUAGAGUAUGGGAGAGGGAAGCGGAAUUUCUGGUGUAGCAGUGAAAUGCGUAGAUAUUGGGAAGAACACCUGAGGCGAAGGCGGGUUGCUGGGCUGAUACUGACGCUGAGGCGCGAAAGCCAGGGGAGCAAACGGG